AACGUUUAAUUUUAAUCAAAUAUAUAUUUUUGUUUCUGUGCUUUUGUUAAAUUCUGUUUUAUGUUACUAUAAUCUUUUAACUGAUCCAUUCCCUGAUGUAGAUUACUGGUGGUAAUCGAAAUAUUGGAAAAAUUUAAAAUAAAACAAUUAAUCAAAAACACCGAUAUCUGUUUUUAAUAAUUGUACAUGGCCUCAAGCCGAACUAUCCACGAAAUUAUAGCCAAAAAGGGUCAAAAAUACGCAAUAUAAAAUUUAACUUUAACUGCGUGCUCUGUUAAAAAAGUUCAGCCAUUUCAUCGACGAAGCUCACUUUUGGCUCAAUGGCUACAUAAAUAAGCAGAAUUGUCGAUUUUGGAGUGAAGAUCAGCCAGAGACAUUGCAAGAGAUUUCAAAGCAUCCAGGAAAAGAAACAUAACUGUGAAUGACAUGUUGUUUCAACAAGACGGUGCCACAUGCCACACAGCACGUGUAACUAUGGACUUAUUGAGAGGCGAGUUCGGUGAACAUUUUAUUUCACUUUCCGGACCGGUUAAUUGGGCAUCUAAAUCAUGCGAUUUAACACCUUGUCUCAUGUCCAUGCAGACAAGCCCGCUUCAAUUGACGCAUUGGAAGACAACAUUAAAGCAUUUAUUCGUGCGAUUGAAAUGUUGAAAAUAUUAUGCCAAACUUGGACUAAUCGGAUGGACCAUUUGAGGCGUAGUCUCGGUCAAAAUUUGCAUGAAAUAAUCCUCAAACAUUAAAUUAUAUAGACCUUACUAUCGUUUCAAAUAAAGAUUUCAUGUAUUUUCUGAA
Stomoxys calcitrans (stable fly) is the source of this 792-nucleotide long non-coding RNA. RefSeq lists it as uncharacterized. The record is from RefSeq and is a predicted model, not a curated record. NCBI's taxonomy places the organism in Eukaryota, Metazoa, Arthropoda, Insecta, Diptera, Muscidae. The transcript is spliced from 2 exons.